UUACAAUAGAAGUACUGUAUGUAGUUCCUAGUAUACUACACCACACAGUCCUCUGACAAAUUAACUAUCCAGACACAAUGGCAAUCCAAGAUCUAGACACCAUCUUAUUGUUUCAAAAUACUAUGCAUAAUUGCUUAUUGCCUUAAUAAUCAUCUCUAAUUCACCCCCUCAUGACCUGAAGUCAUUUUCCCCUUACACUGCACAGAUACAGAAAGUUGUUGUGGGUCAAUCUGUUAGCAGUUUUCUUAAACUCUGGGAUUGAAUCCAAGACUCAGACAGAUGUGAUUAAUAAUGGCUGUUUCCCUAAUAAGUUGUGAUAGGAUGUGAUGUAAACAAGUCAGGAAUCUCCACCAGCAAACAGGAGUACUUAAAGAAUGCAGAAGUUGAACCUCCAAUUGUAAAGGGAGGAAAACGAAUCUCGGACCGUCCAGCAACUUUGUUUAAAACUAUGAAGUGAGCGCAAAGUCAUCAAACAGAAAACACUGGACUUGAAGUAACAUGAAGUUCUGCAGACCAGUUUUCAGUUCGGAUCACUCAAACAGUUUGAAGACGAGAGCACCUAGCAAACGAGCUGGGCAGAGGACUGUGCUGGUCUGCACCUGUCCCGGGCGCCUCUCUCUUCGGCCGGGGGGUCGCCGGUGGUCCUCUCUUCGCCUGACCCACCUGAAGGGCACGACGGCCGCCUCACAAGACGUCUACAGCAGCUCGCAGCCCCGUACGGAGGCGGACCGGUAGUUCAUUAUGCUUGUGAAUCUGCUGUCCGAGAGGAACUGUACCUUCUCGUCUGGAGAGGAGGAGGGGGACGGGGGGGUGAGGGGUGCGCACGGCUGCCCCGAUCUUCUGCUCUAGUUGAAGAAAGGAAACAUGAUACAAGUCAUUGAAAAAGCAAACUAACCCAGUGAAGGGAGCGCAGUUUGUAUUGCUGUCACACGGUGCUUUAUGGUGACACAAGAUAAGGCAGGUAACGCUCAGCACUGCAGAAGUUAACUAAGUGGAAAGUACUUCACUGUGAGAAUGUUAUAUCGAACGCUUUCCAAAUGGAUAAUGAGUUUAGCACAUUUAUGCGUAACACAAACCUUCCAAAAGCAUGAAUAUUUGUGGCGAACCCCCCCAAAGCUCAUAACAUUAUUAUACUGAUUUUGACAGCUCAGCUUGAUCUGGGAUCAAAGAAUUUUUUCAGUAUUCAAAAGGUUUACAAAGUUGAAAGGACAUUUUUUACAUUGUGUUUUAAUUGUGAAAAUAAAUCUCUCAUUCUACAAUUAUCAGACUCUUCAUCUGUCGUUUCCGGGGGCUGUGUAAAAUAAAUACACGCAUGUAUUCAUAGAUCAAUGUCAAAACACCGCAAGGAUGUAAAAGAGCCAAAAUACGCGUUCCACUCCUUGUUUCGUGUCAACGUUCAGAAGAACUACACGUUCCAUUAAUUUGAAAGGUAUUAAUAAAAGACAUCUUUGUCGUUUUUGGAAUUAUGCCCUAGAUGCUGAUGCAUGCAUAUGAAAUGCAAAUAUAUUUGUGUACAUUUUAAUUGUGAUGAAUGUAUACAAUAAAG
RNAcentral lists this long non-coding RNA (1546 nucleotides) under Lepisosteus oculatus (spotted gar). Its description in RNAcentral is "lncRNA (ENSLOCG00000022565.1)". The record is from RNAcentral. Lineage: Eukaryota; Metazoa; Chordata; Actinopteri; Semionotiformes; Lepisosteidae.